Molecule: ribosomal RNA, 253 nt
Filed under: uncultured bacterium
Lineage: Bacteria
Description: partial 16S ribosomal RNA
Rfam family: Bacterial small subunit ribosomal RNA
Source: RNAcentral
UACGUAGGCAGCGAGCGUUGUUCGGAAUUACUGGGCGUAAAGAGCGCGUAGGCGGUGCUCUAAGUUUGGUGUGAAAUCCCCCGGCUUAACUGGGAGGGUGCGCCGGAAACUGGAGUGCUUGAGCGCGGGAGAGGAAAGCGGAAUUCCUGGUGUAGCGGUGAAAUGCGUAGAUAUCAGGAGGAACACCUGUGGUGUAGACGGCUUUCUGGACCGUAGCUGACGCUGAGACACGAAAGCGUGGGUAGCAAACAGG